AAUAAAUCCAAUCUUUAAAAUAGGAAAAUAGGUGUGAAUUUUGUUGCCUUUGGGGGGCUGUACCGUGCCCCUCAGAGUGAAUAUGGAGGUUCUGCAGUC
Molecule: small nucleolar RNA, 99 nt
Filed under: Dasypus novemcinctus (nine-banded armadillo)
Lineage: Eukaryota; Metazoa; Chordata; Mammalia; Cingulata; Dasypodidae
Description: Small nucleolar RNA SNORA68 (ENSDNOG00000029586.2)
Rfam family: Small nucleolar RNA SNORA68
About the family: U68 is a member of the H/ACA class of small nucleolar RNAs (snoRNAs) which act as guides in the the modification of uridines to pseudouridines.
Source: RNAcentral